CACCGCGGUUAUACGAGAGACCCAAGUAGAUGGCUUUCGGCGUAAAGAGUGGUUAAGAGAAACCCACAACUAAAGAAGAACGACCUCCGAGCUGUUAUACGCAUAUGAAAGUACGAAAAUCAUCCACGAAAGUGACUUUAAGACCCUGAACCCACGAAAGCUAUGCCA
This 168-nucleotide ribosomal RNA is filed under the name Halichoeres margaritaceus (pink-belly wrasse). RNAcentral's name for it is "partial 12S rRNA". The record is from RNAcentral. Lineage: Eukaryota; Metazoa; Chordata; Actinopteri; Labriformes; Labridae.